RNAcentral lists this ribosomal RNA (615 nucleotides) under uncultured bacterium. RNAcentral describes it as "bacterial SSU rRNA". It matches the Rfam family "Bacterial small subunit ribosomal RNA", at positions 338 to 948 of the family's 1533-position model. The record is from RNAcentral.
CCUACGGGAGGCAGCAGUGGGGAAUUUUGGACAAUGGGCGAAAGCCUGAUCCAGCAAUGCCGCGUGAGUGAAGAAGGCCUUCGGGUUGUAAAGCUCUUUUGUCAGGGAAGAAACGGUGAAAGCUAAUAUCUUUUGCUAAUGACGGUACCUGAAGAAUAAGCACCGGCUAACUACGUGCCAGCAGCCGCGGUAAUACGUAGGGUGCAAGCGUUAAUCGGAAUUACUGGGCGUAAAGCGUGCGCAGGCGGUUUUGUAAGUCUGAUGUGAAAUCCCCGGGCUCAACCUGGGAAUUGCAUUGGAGACUGCAAGGCUAGAAUCUGGCAGAGGGGGGUAGAAUUCCACGUGUAGCAGUGAAAUGCGUAGAUAUGUGGAGGAACACCGAUGGCGAAGGCAGCCCCCUGGGUCAAGAUUGACGCUCAUGCACGAAAGCGUGGGGAGCAAACAGGAUUAGAUACCCUGGUAGUCCACGCCCUAAACGAUGUCUACUAGUUGUCGGGUCUUAAUUGACUUGGUAACGCAGCUAACGCGUGAAGUAGACCGCCUGGGGAUACGGUCGCAAGNUAAAACUUAAGGAAUUGACCGGNNGAGAGNGCGAGACGACGACGAGGGAGGAGG